Salvia splendens (bonfire salvia) is the source of this 1478-nucleotide long non-coding RNA. RefSeq lists it as uncharacterized. The record is from RefSeq and is a predicted model, not a curated record. NCBI's taxonomy places the organism in Eukaryota, Viridiplantae, Streptophyta, Magnoliopsida, Lamiales, Lamiaceae. The transcript is spliced from 2 exons.
AAGCUCACCCUUUCCGAAAACAUGAUAUGCAAAAAUCAGACUUUGCAAAAUAAACAAAUUUAACAAUGCAUGCAUCCUAAGUGUGUGCUCUAUUUAUCCCUUUCUCUUUUCUUAGCAAAACCUCAUAUGUAAACUUGUUCCAACGUCACUCGAAAGUUAAGAAUUUAAGAAAUAUACUCCCAAUCACCUCCGUGUACAUACCCCUUUCGCAACACACGUAUUCGGUAUACAUUUAAUAUCAAUUUCCUACUUCGGAACUAUUAUACACUAAAACUAAUUGACCCCAUAAAAUAAUAUAAUUAAUAGUACUCAAACCAUUAAAGUUUAAAGAAAAAAAAAGAAGGUCAGUAGCAUCAUAUACUCCCUACCCAAACUAAUUCAUUUUUCUCUAUUAAAUCCCACUAGUCCAAAUACAAGAGUGGCCCACCAACAAUUAAAAAAAAAACAAGUAAUUAAAAGUAUACUCCUUAUCAUUCCACGUAUACACUUAAUCUUCUAUCACAUCACAUGUAUACACACACAUUAUUAUAUUUCUAAAUCAAUCCAUAAAUUUUGAUUAUCCAACUUAUUUGGUCAAGAAGAAUAAGAAUCUAUUAACUUUAAUAUACUCCCUGCGUAACCCGUUACAGAAAACAAAAAGAAAAGAAAAGGGUGUAACUUAAUUUACUGCCAACCAACUCUCUUCUAUCUCAAAUUCCUCUCUGUUCUUCCUCCCCCUCUCUCUCUACUGCCAUUCUUCCACAGUUCACCAAAACAUCAAGCUCAUUGUCAAAAUUACUUCACAGAAGCACCAAUUUCACAAGGGAAUUUUAAGAAUAGAUUGAAGGGGAAAGUAAGAGGACAAUUUUCACAGGUACUAAAGAUUGAGACUUUAUCAAGAAGAAUCAUUCCACUGUUUCAAAAAUUCUAUCUGGUGGACUACCGUGAGUGUAUGGAACUAUAAUAUGGAAUUAAAAAAAGGGAUACCUUUGGGAAGAAGAAAGUUUGCACCACAGAAGGUAAUCACAGCUCUCCAGUUUCUCCUUUACACUGUGGUGUUUGAUAUUUUUGGUUAUGGACUCAACAAGUAUUAGAGAUUUUCAUAUUCAAUGGAAGGAGAAGAAAUUACCUUCACGGAAGAGGAGAAAACUGCAGUAGGUUCUUUUAACCAUUCAUCUUUUAUUUUAUUUCUAAUUUUUUCAUCAAUUUUAUUAAACCAUCUUUCUUUUUCUUUGUAAAAGGGAGAGCUUAAUUCGUCAUUUAAAUAUUCCAUAUCAGGUUCAAAAUCUUUAUUAUAAGUUAUGACCAUAGUACUCCUAGUAGGGGAAUAAGGAUCUCCUAUACUUUCUUCAGUAACAGAGUUUGAUUGAGGUAUAGGGGUUUUGAAAGUCCACUUUCUUUCUGAGGUACUUGGAAUAUCAGAACAGGAGGCUCUAUUAUUUUCAUAGUUAAAACUUCUAUUGUAACUAAAAUUUGAGAAAGAAUUUGUCUUGUCGAAA